CUUGGGGUUGUAGGACACUCUGUACGGAGUUACAAAGGAACGAGGUAGAUGAAGAGGUCUGGAAAGGCCCGCCAUAGGAGGUAACAGCCCUGUAGUCAAAACUUCGUUCUCUCCUGAGUGGAUCCUGAGUACGGCGGAACACGUGAAAUUCCGUCGGAAUCCGGGAGGACCAUCUCCCAAGGCUAAAUACUCCCUAGUGACCGAUAGUGAACCAGUACCGUGAGGGAAAGGUGAAAAGCACCCCGGAAGGGGAGUGAAAGAGAUCCUGAAACCGUGUGCCUACAAGUAGUCAGAGCCCGUUAACAGGUGAUGGCGUGCCUUUUGUAGAAUGAACCGGCGAGUUACGAUCCCGUGCAAGGUUAAGCAGAAGAUGCGGAGCCGCAGCGAAAGCG
Molecule: ribosomal RNA, 392 nt
Filed under: Bacillus velezensis
Lineage: Bacteria; Bacillati; Bacillota; Bacilli; Caryophanales; Bacillaceae
Description: partial 23S ribosomal RNA
Rfam family: Bacterial large subunit ribosomal RNA
Source: RNAcentral